UCUCUCUCGGACAAGGUAACUUUUAUCAAUAUAUUUGCCUGUAAUUACUAAUUAGCCGCUAAUGUGGCUAUCAUACGGAACUUCACAUCUUGUUGCAAGCUUUAACAUCAUCACUCAAGAAACAAGGAUGGUUCUGUGUUAUGCACCGCCGGAUUGUAACCACUACUUUGAUAAGCACACAUGCAUUUGAUCGUUUUCCAAAGCGUCGCUGGAGCCGUGUGAUUAGACCAACAGGAGUGCAUCCCUCAGACCAUCUGGUGCAUGUACAUCCUGUGCCAGUGUGAUCCAGUUGUGGAGACGACAGCACAUCGAGCCUGUGGACGAACAGGUCAGUAACUCAUCAAAUAUGAUACAAUAUUGUGUAAAACAUAGAAUUUGUAUAUGCAUUGAAAAACGGAUUGGAAGAAAACCUCAAAGUAGGAACAAAAACUAUUUGUGCAAAAACUAUUUCCAAGUUGGUUACAGAUGUUCACUGCUGCAGUGCCAACUUUGGGAGCAUGUGGUCCUUGAAAAACUCCUCUAGUCCAGCAAUAGGAGUCUACCAGAGGUUGUCACGCUGGAUGGGGAUGGUGACGGAGGCUUUGGUGGUCCACACAAUGAAUAAGCAAGUGUCCUUUCCAGUGUUGUGGAGCUGCCCUUAACUUGCUGCCAGUAAGGAUGGUAUUCACGGAGGCUGUAAGACCCUCCCUUCUGGAUAUAUAAAUCCUUCGACUUCACUGCCUCUUCAAUGUUAAGGCCCCUUGCACCAUAGGGACACUUAACCUCCACCACUGCUGUGGUGCCCACUCUGGCUAUCUACCACCAGACCAUCCGGUGAGGCACCCAGGAUCCCAGACCCCAUGACCAAAAGCCUUGACUCCUGCCCAUCCAUCUCUGUAGCCAUUUUGAAUGCCUUGAUGUCCUUCGUUAUCUGUGCCCCAUUUUUACCCCAGUCAACGUCUCAACACCGUGAAAUGUAUUCCUUGUAAGAAAUGUGCUAUAUAAAUAGUUUUAUUUGAUAACAUUACAGAUGUAGAAUAUUUAAUAAACUGUAAUAUUCAUAUGUGGGCAAGUGCAAUUUUUCUAUAAACUUUUAAUUGUUAACUUGGGAUUUUAUGAGUUGACAUAGCAUAUAGUGGGAAGGAUCCUAUAAAUCAAGACUGUGUGAAUGCAUGUACCACUCUGAAUAAAUAAAUAUUGUGCCUUUUGAAGA
Molecule: non-coding RNA, 1192 nt
Organism: Salmo salar (Atlantic salmon)
Lineage: Eukaryota; Metazoa; Chordata; Actinopteri; Salmoniformes; Salmonidae
Source: RefSeq, a predicted model, not a curated record